Molecule: unclassified non-coding RNA, 515 nt
Filed under: Lytechinus variegatus (green sea urchin)
Lineage: Eukaryota; Metazoa; Echinodermata; Echinoidea; Temnopleuroida; Toxopneustidae
Description: uncharacterized LOC121428326, transcript variant X2
Source: RNAcentral
UUACUCAAUGCCAAAAAUCUAAGAGGGAUGGAGACCAGCAGCAUGGCAGCAGGAGCUAAUGUUGGUCGUGAUGAGGCAUAUACCACCAUCAACAAUGCUGCAAUUGCAGUCACCACCACCAAGUCUGCUUCUGUCACUGCCAUCACCAUUGCCACCGCCAUUACCAAGACCACUCCUGACACAAAGCCCCCAAGUCCUCAACUGACCAGAUAUUGCAGCUGGAGAAGGAUAUACCAGGAACUUCAAAGCCAGGGCUUGCCAGUCUCCUACAAUAAGAAAAAUGCCAUGGGCCCAUCUAAUGAACUAGUAGUAGAAUAUUUGGCCACAGUUGUAGAAAUGCAGAGACUAACAUACUGCCACAGGUGAGGUUUUGUCCACAGUUCCAGAAGGACACAAAAUAGUAUCAGAAAGUCAUGCCAGAAUCAACAACUGAAGGGUUUGAAGAGCCAGAUAAAGAGCCGAGAAAUGUGAUUUUAAAGGUACUUCAAUCACAUGCACAGUAGGAGCAAAAACAG